CAUUACGAAAAAUAUCCAUCCAUUUCAAUACGCCCCCAAAACCAGCUCCUCUACCCACAAUAACUCUUUUUCGAAAAAUGUGAGGUUUUUUUUUUGUUUGUUCGUUUGUUUGUUGUAAUCUCUGUUUCCAUUAAAGAUAACUAAUAAUCAAAUAUUCUCGGUGUCUCCAUGUGGGAAAGGGAGAAGGGGACGCCUCAUUCUUUUUUAUUAGCUGCGUUUCCAUAACACUUUUUUGUUACCUUUAUGGAGAAAUAAACUCCACCCGGGCCGGACAUCCCCAUGAAAAAAACAAACACCCACCUCACCUCAUUCACCACUGAAAAGAGCUUUCACACCUGCAUAUCUGAUUCCACUCCAGCUCCAGAAUACAAACCAAAGACACAACCGGUUUUCAACCUAUCAUUUAUCAAUCGUCAUCUGCCAAAAUAAACGGAAAGAAAAGCAAAAUGAUUGAAUGACUGAGUUGAUUCCAUGUCCUUUGGAAGACAAAGCCUAUCGAGUCAGGCAGGAGCUGGAGGAGACCAAAAGACUCAACAAUUUGCGCAAAACUUUAUGGAAAUUCUAGGAAUAAUAAAAAAAAA
Oryzias melastigma (Indian medaka) is the source of this 581-nucleotide long non-coding RNA. RefSeq lists it as uncharacterized. The record is from RefSeq and is a predicted model, not a curated record. Lineage: Eukaryota; Metazoa; Chordata; Actinopteri; Beloniformes; Adrianichthyidae. The transcript is spliced from 2 exons.